RNAcentral lists this small nuclear RNA (238 nucleotides) under Mus spretus (western wild mouse). RNAcentral's name for it is "predicted gene, 55843 (ENSMSPG00010038469.1)". It matches the Rfam family "7SK RNA", at positions 1 to 275 of the family's 331-position model. Rfam says of the family: 7SK was discovered as an abundant small nuclear RNA in the mid-70s but a possible function has only recently been suggested. Two independent studies have found that 7SK RNA binds the CDK9/cyclin T complex (known as elongation factor P-TEFb). P-TEFb activates transcription by phosphorylating the C-terminal domain of RNA polymerase II. The record is from RNAcentral. Lineage: Eukaryota; Metazoa; Chordata; Mammalia; Rodentia; Muridae.
UAAUGUGAUGGGAAUUCUUCCCACACCACAUGCUGCCUCAUUGAUCCACAGGGUGGAUUCAGCUGACCUGGCUGGCUACGUAGGAGUUCCCUGUUUCUCUCACCACUCUCUCAGUGUACAUACUGAAACUGCCUGCUCUGGGAAAGAGGACCAUUUUCAGUGGAUGGAAUCCUAGCGGUUGUGCUCCCUGCUAAACUUCCAAACCAAUCAAGGAUAGAGGAAUGCAUCUGAGGAUCUU